UCCCAGACUCCUACGGGAGGCAGCAGUGGGGGAUAUUGCACAAUGGGGGAAACCCUGAUGCAGCGACGCCGCGUGAGUGAAGAAGUAUUUCGGUAUGUAAAGCUCUAUCAGCAGGGAAGAAGGUGACAGUACCUGAGUAAGAAGCCCCGGCUAACUACGUGCCAGCAGCCGCGGUAAUACGUAGGGGGCAAGCGUUAUCCGGAUUUACUGGGUGUAAAGGGGGCGCAGACGGCAGCGCAAGCCAGGAGUGAAAGCCCGGGGCCCAACCCCGGGACUGCUCUUGGAACUGCGCGGCUGGAGUGCAGGAGGGGCAGGCGGAAUUCCUGGUGUAGCGGUGAAAUGCGUAGAUAUCAGGAGGAACACCGGUGGCGAAGGCGGCCUGCUGGACUGCGACUGACGUUGAGGCCCGAAAGCGUGGGGAGCAAACAGGAUUAGAUACCCUCGUAUU
This 448-nucleotide ribosomal RNA is filed under the name uncultured bacterium. RNAcentral's name for it is "partial 16S ribosomal RNA". It matches the Rfam family "Bacterial small subunit ribosomal RNA", at positions 329 to 794 of the family's 1533-position model. The record is from RNAcentral.